Molecule: long non-coding RNA, 451 nt
Filed under: Coffea arabica (coffee)
Lineage: Eukaryota; Viridiplantae; Streptophyta; Magnoliopsida; Gentianales; Rubiaceae
Description: long non-coding RNA (CARA_LNC008373)
Source: RNAcentral
CAAAAAAUGGGGCGCGACAGUUGGCGACUCCACUGGGGACUUCCUAAGUGGGUCCAAGCAUUUUUGACUUAACCAUUCGUUUCCUUUUUCUACCCUUUCUAUGCAUGGCAUGUGGAUAUUAGGAUUGCAUUUUUCAUUUUUUUAGGACCUUUUGUCUUAUAUACGUAAUCAAACCAAUCCCUCGACUCACGAAUGUAUGUUUGAAUGAAUGUUUAUUUGUUAUCUCGCGCUUGCAUUGCAUUUUGGGAGGUAUGGGUCACCCUAGAGCCUCGCGUUGGUUCUUGACCCUUCCCCUCCAAACGAGCACUAGCAUACGAGCAUACGCUUUACUUCUUUUUAUCCCUUUUAUUUUUCUUUAGUGGCUUGUCACGCCACUCCACCCUAUUAGGAUUAGGUGACUCACUUGGACAUGUGAUCACGACACGAUGUGUGUGUAGCAUGUUCCAAUGGG